RNAcentral lists this long non-coding RNA (287 nucleotides) under Setaria viridis. Its description in RNAcentral is "long non-coding RNA (SVIR_LNC004275)". The record is from RNAcentral. Lineage: Eukaryota; Viridiplantae; Streptophyta; Magnoliopsida; Poales; Poaceae.
GCCGCCGCCGCCUUCUCCCCUUCAUCCGGCGCCGAAAAAACCAGCGCCUCCUUCAAUUCCGUGCUCCUCACGCGCGGCCGCCCUGUCGUGCUGGCGCGUCCUCCAGCGCCGUCGUUUCUGGCAGAAGCUCCUCGCCUGGCGGAGGCGGCCCACAAGCCGGAGGACGGCAAGGGCAUCCGCUCGUCCGGCGCCGCACAAAUGGAGCAUCCGUUCUGCUGCUGUCCCGCCGGCGCUGGUGGCUUGGCUUGGAGCUACAUCUGCUGAUUGCUUCGGUUCACAGAGAGGAA